CUCCUGUUCGUCCAACUGGAAAAGACGCGUGGCUACGGACCACGAAAUCUGGGUUCGAAUCCUGGGCGGGAGGCCA
This 76-nucleotide transfer RNA is filed under the name Kiritimatiellia bacterium. Its description in RNAcentral is "Kiritimatiellae bacterium (gut metagenome) tRNA-Arg". It matches the Rfam family "tRNA". Rfam says of the family: Transfer RNA (tRNA) molecules are approximately 80 nucleotides in length. Their secondary structure includes four short double-helical elements and three loops (D, anti-codon, and T loops). The record is from RNAcentral. Lineage: Bacteria; Pseudomonadati; Kiritimatiellota; Kiritimatiellia.